AACAGAAAUCAAGAAAGGUCUCUCUCGUACAUCUGGACAUUUCUCGCGUGUAAAAUCGAUUAUCGAGGGUUUAUUGCACGCGCGAAGUGUUGACGGGUAUGAAAGGAUCGAUACGAGGUGGCGAUUGCGCUCGCGUCUGACGGGCCGAGUUCUCCACGACGAAUCUUUCCGGCGGGGAGGAUGAACUUCGCAAAGUGUAACACACUUCGUCGAAAUCAUAGGUUUGCGUCAGCGCGCCGCGACCAUCCGGGCAUAAGUGCGAACGUGUUUGACGUCAGUGCGCCGUAAAAGCCUGCUAUCAUCGUCGGCAAAUAGACGUGCACUUGGAGGCGGGGAGGCAGAUUAGAAAAAAUCAGAUAUAAGCACGCGGCUACUGACGCAAUAACGCAAAUAUACGACACUCAUAUUCAACACACCGGACUCCGAUGACGCUAUGGGAGUCAAUUGCGUGCGUAUCAAUCGGGGUAUAUAUUGAGAAAAAAAAGCGACCGAUACUUGUGACUAUAAUCGCGCUAAAAAUAUUUAUAGCCGCUGUUUUUAUAGUAAGCACUACUGUAAUGCGAUCGGGAAUAAUCUUACAUGCUUAUUGUCCCUGUUCUUUUGGAGCAACAUAAAAUACAGUUGGCGCUAAGACGAUUAUAAUUUUA
Molecule: long non-coding RNA, 647 nt
Organism: Dinoponera quadriceps
Lineage: Eukaryota; Metazoa; Arthropoda; Insecta; Hymenoptera; Formicidae
Exons: 2
Source: RefSeq, a predicted model, not a curated record